CUACGGGUUGCAGCAGUGAGGAAUAUUGGUCAAUGGGCGCAAGCCUGAACCAGCCAUCCCGCGUGAAGGAUGACUGCCCUAUGGGUUGUAAACUUCUUUUCUGUACCAAGAAUGGCCCCUACGUGUAGGGAUUUGACGGUAGUACAGGAAUAAGCAUCGGCUAACUCCGGGCCAGCAGCCGCGGUAAUACGGAGGAUGCAAGCGUUAUCCGGAUUUAUUGGGUUUAAAGGGUCCGCAGGCGGACCGGUAAGUCAGUGGUGAAAUCCUGCAGCUUAACUGUAGAACUGCCAUUGAUACUGUCGGUCUUGAGUCUGGUCGAGGUAGGCGGAAUGAGUAGUGUAGCGGUGAAAUGCUUAGAUAUUACUCAGAACACCGAUUGCGAAGGCAGCUUACUAGACCAGUACUGACGCUGAUGGACGAAAGCGUGGGGAGCGAACAGGAUUAGAUACCCUAGUAGUC
Molecule: ribosomal RNA, 459 nt
Filed under: uncultured bacterium
Lineage: Bacteria
Description: partial 16S ribosomal RNA
Rfam family: Bacterial small subunit ribosomal RNA
Source: RNAcentral